AAAGGCCUACCAAGGCGACGAUCUGUAGCGGGUCUGAGAGGAUGAUCCGCCACACUGGGACUGAGACACGGCCCAGACUCCUACGGGAGGCAGCAGUGGGGAAUAUUGGACAAUGGGGGGAACCCUGAUCCAGCCAUGCCGCGUGUGUGAAGAAGGCCUUAUGGUUGUAAAGCACUUUAAGCGAGGAGGAGGCUACUGAGACUAAUACUCUUGGAUAGUGGACGUUACUCGCAGAAUAAGCACCGGCUAACUCUGUGCCAGCAGCCGCGGUAAUACAGAGGGUGCGAGCGUUAAUCGGAUUUACUGGGCGUAAAGCGUGCGUAGGCGGCUUUUUAAGUCGGAUGUGAAAUCCCCGAGCUUAACUUGGGAAUUGCAUUCGAUACUGGGAAGCUAGAGUAUGGGAGAGGAUGGUAGAAUUCCAGGUGUAGCGGUGAAAUGCGUAGAGAUCUGGAGGAAUACCGAUGGCGAAGGCAGCCAUCUGGCCUAAUACUGACGCUGAGGUACGAAAGCAUGGGGAGCAAACAGGAUUAGAUACCCUGGUAGUCCAUGCCGUAAACGAUGUCUACUAGCCGUUGGGGCCUUUGAGGCUUUAGUGGCGCAGCUAACGCGAUAAGUAGACCGCCUGGGGAGUACGGUCGCAAGACUAAAACUCAAAUGAAUUGACGGGGGCCCGCACAAGCGGUGGAGCAUGUGGUUUAAUUCGAUGCAACGCGAAGAACCUUACCUGGCCUUG
Molecule: ribosomal RNA, 733 nt
Filed under: Acinetobacter junii
Lineage: Bacteria; Pseudomonadati; Pseudomonadota; Gammaproteobacteria; Moraxellales; Moraxellaceae
Description: bacterial SSU rRNA
Rfam family: Bacterial small subunit ribosomal RNA
Source: RNAcentral